CUAAACCAGGGCUUAAGUGGAUCAGCCUCCUGUCUCCCCAGGGCCUGGGCACCCCUGGGGCACGGACAGACAAGCAGAGUCUCUUCUGCCCGAGGAUGCUGAAUCCUCCCCCUCCUCUCACGCUCCCUGUCCUCCAUCGCCCCCAGCCUCUGGGUCCUCAGCUGCCACAAGAGCCAACAAUCCAUACUCCUUAUCAGAGGGCCAGCAAGAAUCGAGGCUAGAGCCCAGCACCUGGGAGGGCUGUGACACCCGCCCUGCCCCACGGAGAGUGCCAGUCCCAUCUGUACUCAGGCCUGAGCUCAAGCCACGGAGAGAGUCUCCCUCUGCUGAACCCCUGGGUUGGGUAUCCCCGCUCCCUGCCCGCACCCCGGGCAAGGGCUGACGUCUGACGCACAGGAGGGUGACAGGCAGAGCCCAGCAGACGGCCGGGACAAGGCUCCCUUUCCAGCCCCCCCACCCCCGUCCUGACAAGUCCUCCGUCCUCCCAGGAUCACCUGAACUCGUCCCGCGGACUCCAAACAGAGCGUCAGUCCUUAGAAACCCACAGAUGGGGCCGAGGUCCCAGCGUGCACCGUCACAGCCUCUGCCCCCCAGCUCUCCUUUCCCCACCUGUAAUGGGGGUAAUCCGGCCUGGAGCUCUUGUGAAAAAAAAAAACAUUUGUGGAACACAUUUGCUCCCAACCUCAAUCUCCCUCUCCU
This is a non-coding RNA of Ictidomys tridecemlineatus (thirteen-lined ground squirrel), 699 nucleotides long. NCBI's taxonomy places the organism in Eukaryota, Metazoa, Chordata, Mammalia, Rodentia, Sciuridae. The record is from RefSeq and is a predicted model, not a curated record.